AACGAACGCUGGCGGCAUGCCUAACACAUGCAAGUCGAACGAGGCCUUCGGGUCUAGUGGCGCACGGGUGCGUAACGCGUGGGAACCUGCCCUUAGGUUCGGAAUAACUCCCCGAAAGGGGUGCUAAUACCGGAUAAUGUCUUCGGACCAAAGAUUUAUCGCCUUUGGAUGGGCCCGCGUUGGAUUAGCUAGUUGGUAGGGUAAAAGCCUACCAAGGCGACGAUCCAUAGCUGGUCUGAGAGGAUGAUCAGCCACACUGGGACUGAGACACGGCCCAGACUCCUACGGGAGGCAGCAGUGGGGAAUAUUGGACAAUGGGCGAAAGCCUGAUCCGGCAAUGCCGCGUGAGUGAUGAAGGCCUUAGGGUUGUAAAGCUCUUUUACCCGGGAUGAUAAUGACAGUACCGGGAGAAUAAGCUCCGGCUAACUCCGU
This 432-nucleotide ribosomal RNA is filed under the name uncultured bacterium. RNAcentral's name for it is "partial 16S ribosomal RNA". It matches the Rfam family "Bacterial small subunit ribosomal RNA", at positions 29 to 506 of the family's 1533-position model. The record is from RNAcentral.